AGUGAACGCUGGCGGCGUGCUUAACACAUGCAAGUCGAACGAGAACGGAUUAUAGCUUGCUAUAAUUGUCAGCUAAGUGGCGCACGGGUGAGUAAUAUAUAGAUAACCUGCCCUCUAGAAAGGAAUAACAGUUGGAAACGACUGCUAAUGCCCUAUAUGCCUUUAAUACAUAAGUAUGCAAGGGAAACGCUUUAGUGCUAGAGGAUGGGUCUGUAUGGUAUCAGCUUGUUGGUGAGGUAAUGGCUCACCAAGGCUAUGACGCCUAACUGGUUUGAGAGGAUGAUCAGUCACACUGGAACUGAGACACGGUCCAGACUCCUACGGGAGGCAGCAGUGGGGAUAUUGCACAAUGGACGAAAGUCUGAUGCAGCAACGCCGCGUGGAGGAUGACACAUUUCGGUGCGUAAACUCCUUUAUAUAGAAGAUAAUGACGGUACUAUAUGAAUAAGCACCGGCUAACUCCGU
Molecule: ribosomal RNA, 465 nt
Filed under: uncultured bacterium
Lineage: Bacteria
Description: bacterial SSU rRNA
Rfam family: Bacterial small subunit ribosomal RNA
Source: RNAcentral